Molecule: long non-coding RNA, 1458 nt
Filed under: Pogona vitticeps (central bearded dragon)
Lineage: Eukaryota; Metazoa; Chordata; Lepidosauria; Squamata; Agamidae
Description: lncRNA (ENSPVIG00000002885.1)
Source: RNAcentral
GGAGGGGGAGGCGGCGCCCCAAAGCCUUUCGGGCCUCCCUCCCUCCCUCCUUCCCUCCAUCUGCGACGGGAAGGCGGUGGCCCCUCCGGCAGCAGGGGAAGGGCUCAGUCGGGGCCCUUCCCCGUUAAGGCUCUGUCCUCAGGCCUUGGGGGUGGGGGGGGGGGGGGGGAGAGUCAGGGUGAGGGCCUCCGGGUCGCCGUUCUUCUCCUUUUCGGCCCUUCGGAGGGGACCCCCCCCCGCUCUCUCCUCCCCCUUGAAAGGCUGGCUGGAAAUCAACCUUCCUUUUUCACAAAGGGCCUUUUUACGGGUGUGAUAACUCUGGCAGACCCCACUGUUGUAGAAUGUGCUCCUGCCAGUUGUCUUGGUGCUUGUCCUGCGAGGAACCUGAUCCUGCUCAGGCAAGGGCAGGGCAGAAGAGGAGGGAGAGGAGAAGGAUUCCUCGCUUGGAGACCAUCUUCCUGGAAGCCUUCUGUCUCAACCCUGGUAGGCAUCCUUAAGUCUCAAGAGACUAUGGGAACGUGCUCUGAAUAGAGGUCUUGGAACAGCGUCUAGUGUGGCUGAGGAGGCCAAUUCGAGAUUGACCAUCCCUUUCACCCUGAAGACCAAUACAAUCCGUCCCUUGUCCAGCUCCCUGGUUUUGCUGGUUUCGGGACUGCCUCUUGGCCUCGGCCUGCUGGACAAGGGUCUAUUCCAAUUACGAGAGCUCAUGAUGCACCGCCUGCCUCCAGGCUGAAUGCUCGGAUGUCAGGCUUUCUGUGGAGGUCCAUUCCUAAGGCUUCCAGAUGCCGCCUGCAGAUAUCCUUGUAUCACAGCUGUGGUCUCCCUUUGGGGCAAUUUCCCUGCACUCAUUCUUCAUACAGGACAUCUUUUGGAAUCCGACCGCCAACUAUUCUCAUUACAUGCCUGAGCCAACGUAGACAUCACUGUUUCGGUAAAAUAUACAUGCUAAAAAUUCCAGCUCGUUCUCUGACUACUCAUAUUUGAAUUUUGUCUUGCCAGGUGAUGCUAAAAAUGUGUCGGAGGCAAUGCAUAUGGAACGUGUUCAGCUUCUUCUCCUGCCCUGCACGAAGGGUCCAGGACUCACUGCAGUACAGGAGGGUGCUCAGGACACAGGCUCUAUAGACCUGCAUCUUGGUAUAUGCCGUCAGCUUCUUAUUAAGGCAUGCUCUCUGUGAGUCUAGAGAAUAUGGUGGCUGCUUUGCCAAUGCGUUUAUCCAACUCGGACAUCUAGAGAGGGUGUCGAGAUCGUUGAGCCCAGGUUCACAAAAUAAUGAACAACCUCCAAUUCCUGUGUAGAGAUGGUAAUACAGUGGUGCCUUGACUUACGAACUUAAUCCGUAUUGGAAUGGUGUUCGUUAAGUCAAAGCACCAUUUCCCAUUGAAAUGCAUGAGAAUGGGAUUAAUCUGUUUCAGCAUUUCAAAAAAAUACCAAAAUAAAAAUAAACAGAGCAAGUCCCA